This is an RNA transcript of Meriones unguiculatus (Mongolian gerbil), 4461 nucleotides long. It is a transcript of the gene named ankyrin repeat domain 16, with no coding region annotated. The record is from RefSeq and is a predicted model, not a curated record. NCBI's taxonomy places the organism in Eukaryota, Metazoa, Chordata, Mammalia, Rodentia, Muridae. The transcript is spliced from 8 exons.
CAGAGUUCCUUCGAGCUCCCUAGGUUCCCGCGGGGGCUGAGGCGGCGGCCGCCGGCGGGGAGGGGGCUUGGGUCUGCUGCGGAUUGGGUGAGGAGCGGGCAGAGCAACGGACACUGUCCCAUUUCUGAGAGGCCCCAGAAACCCUGCUGUUGGGAGCCUGGGCAUCCUGAAGUCCCGGCUGUGCAGCCCAAGGAUGCGGCUGUGCAGCCUAGCAGAGACCCCCACACAUCUCCAUAGGCUGUACAGUGGAGAGCAGACCACAUCUGGGGUGCGAGGGCAGGCUGCAAAGCACCGCUGUCCCACUUCAGGGCUUCGCGGAACAGCGGCGCAUUCCACUCUAUUACAGCUCCAGGGUGUCGGGCGUACACUCUGACCCUAAACUGCCCGGGCUCCCGGAUCCCAAGGCCCUACCCUGACAACCCCGCAAGUUUGGGUCGCGGUAACUAGUGCUUGUUGUCGCCUGAGAAGACACCAUUCUACAUAGGGGAUCAUGACUUCCAAACCAGGGCAAGUGGCUUCAAAAAGACGCUGGAGGACAGAAUCCGUCUUGGGGGCGGAGCAUCGGGGAGAACAGUCACAUGCAGGAAGCGGAAGCCCUGCCCACCUCUCAGCUUCUCCCAACCUGUAGUAGCACAUGUCUAGGUCUACCUCUUACUUUUGUCCAGCCUGGUCCCGGGUGAUGGCUCCGCCUGGAGAUCCGCGGCGCCUCUGCAAGCUGGUGCAAGAAGGCCGCCUGCGCGCCCUGCAGGAGGAGCUGAAAGUAGCCGGAGGUUGCCAGGAGCCGGAAAUUGCAAGAGGCUGCCUGGGGCCUGGUGGGGACACCCUUCUCCACUGUGCAGCUCGCCACGGGCACCGGGACAUCCUAGCCUACCUAGUGGAGGCUUGGAGUAUGGACAUUGAGGCUGCCAACCGAGACUACAAGCGGCCUCUGCAUGAAGCUGCCUCUAUGGGCCACCGGGACUGCGUGCGCUACCUCCUGGGCCGAGGUGCAGCUGUGGACUCCUUGAAGAAAGCGGACUGGACUCCUCUGAUGAUGGCUUGCACAAGGAAGAACCUUGAAGUGAUCCAGGACCUUGUGGAACACGGUGCCAAUCCACUACUGAAGAACAAGGACGGCUGGAACAGUUUCCACAUUGCCAGUCGAGAAGGCGAACCUGUGAUCCUCCGGUACUUGCUCACAGUCUGCCCAGAUGUUUGGAAAACAGAGAGCAGAAUUAGAAGAACUCCUUUACACACUGCAGCAAUGCAUGGCUGCUUCGAAGCAGUGCAGGAGCUUCUUGAGAGGUGUCACUAUGAACCAGACUGUAGAGACAACUGUGGUGUCACGCCCUUCAUGGAUGCAAUUCAGUGUGGCCAUGUAAGCAUAGCCAAACUGCUCCUUGAAAAACACGAGGCUUGCUCUUCAGCUGCAGAUAGCCUGGGGGCCCAGGCUCUACACCGGGCAGCAGUCACUGGGCAGGGUAAAGCCCUACGAUUCCUGGUGUCCGAUCUUGGCAUUGAUGUGGAUGUGAGAGCAACGUCAACCGGGCUCACAGCACUUCAUUAUGCAGCUAAGGAAGGACAGACGAGCACAGUUCAAACUCUGUUAUCCUUGGGUGCCGACAUCAACGCUAAAGAUGAAAGAAAUCGCUCAGCCCUGCAUCUCGCCUGUGCAGGUCAGCAUGUGGCUUGCACCAGGUUCCUCCUGAAGUUAGGACUGAAGGAUUCUGCAGACCUAACAGGCACCCUGGCCCAGCAACUCACACAGAGUGUAGAUAUCCUUCAGUACUUUGACCACGACGUGGAAUCAUAAGGACGUUGGAAGAAGAGGCAGUGAAGUUCAUGGUGAUUCACAUCAAGCUUUUUCAGUUACCAACAGAUCAUGUGAAUGGAUAGUUUGCCUGCAUGUAUGUCUGUGAGUCACAUUCCUGGUACCUUCAGAGGCCAGAGAAGACAUCCGAUUUUCCAGGACUAGACUUACAGACAGUUGUGAGCCUCCAUAUGGAUGCUGGGGAUCAAACCUCAGAUCCCCUGGAGAGAAACCAGUACUCUUAACCACUGAGCUGAGCCAUCUGUCCAGCCCCAGGAAUAAGACUUUAAGCUUUAAGAACUUUUUGUUUGUUUUAAUAGACAAGUUCAAUCAUGAGCAAGACCUAAUCCUCAUUAGUUUAGUAUGAUCCAGCCAAUACUAUUGCACACCCAUCUGCAGUAUUGUGGUUGCCUUGGCAAACAGCAAAGACUUCCAACUCCUCUUAAUAUCCUCCUGAGGAGUUCAUAAGUCUCUGUUUCUAACCACCAAAUAAAUGUUCCUGUAAAAACACAGUCCUGUCUUGUAAUCUCUUCGUCAUACACUGUAUACCUAUGCUUAUCUGAGAUGGGUUUCCAUUCUCCCUGUGUCACAGAACUCUUCAUUUCAAUGUCUUUUGGGUCUGAGGAUGAUCCUGCUGUGUGAUACCCUAUGUAUGGGUGCUGGGGCCCAAAGGUCACCCUUAGCUUGUGCACGUGCACACACACACACACACACACACACACACACACACAGCUUUCUAUUCAUUCUCAUACAUAUUCUUUCUCCCCUCCCUCCUCCCCCUAUAACUAAAGCAUUUCUGUGUACCUGAAGCUAGCCUCAGACUUGUAUUUUUAAGCUCUGAGUGCUGAAACUUGAAACCUGAGCUAUAAUGCCUGGUAUCUCUUUUUUUGCUUGUUAUUCUCCACUCAUAAUUAAUUCCCAUGUGUCAUACUACUUCUGCCCUUCCCAGUACUAAACUCUAAAAAUGCUGAUUACUACAGGCCACUACUAAAAUUACUCAAUAGCCAUAGAUGAUAGUGGUUAUCACAACAUUAAUUGUAGGAAAAAAGUAGUAAUAAUAUGUGCUAACAAUGGAGCUGGAAAGAUGGCUCAGAGGUUAAGAGCACUGGUUGCUCUUCCAAAGGUCAUGAGUUCAAUUCCUAGCAACUACAUGGUGGCUCACAACCAUCUAAAAUGAAAUCUGGUGCCCUCCUCUGGCCUGCAGGUGUACAUGCAAACACAUAUUGUAUACAUAAUAAAUAAAUAUUUUUUAAAAAUGUGCUAACAAUACACGAUUGCUAUAAUACUAUAUUAGAAAUGCUAAUAGCAAUGCAGAUAAUUAUUCCCCCUAAUUAUAGUUACUUUUUUUUUUUUCAUUUUCUUUGGUUACCAAAAGUUACUUUCCCAGGCCUCUCUACCUAAAAUUUUACCCUUUUCCUCAGCACUUGCCACCUCCUUCUUUGUGGUGGUUAGCUUUACCUGUCAGCUUCAGUGUCCACGCAACCUAAAGCCACCUGGAAAGGAGGUCUCAUUGGUUUGGCAGUGGGUAUGUCUGUGAGGGGUUGUCUUAAAAUUAAGUUACUCAAGGAAAGACCCAUCCCACUGUGGGCAGCUGCUGGGAUAAUCUUUUUGUAAAACUGUAUAAAGGUUGUCUUUGUUUUUUCUUUCUUUUUUAUUAAUUAAUUCAGUUUACUUCUUGGUCAUAGGCCCCUGCGUCAUCUCCCAGUCCUACCUUCCCUCCUGUAUCCCCUACCCAGACACCCCAGUUCAUCUAGUCACAUGAAAACUGAGUUCAUCUUCCUCCCUGUGGCCUUGUAGGGAAGUCCCAUCAGGGGAAGUGAUCAAAAAGCAGGCAACAUAGUCUCUGUCAGAGAUGUCCCCACUUCCUUAACUAGUGGGUCGAUAUGAAGCCUGAGAUGCCCAUUGGACUUAUCUUCUUGAGGUCUGCAUUGUAGUAUGUCUAGCCUGUACUAUAAUGACUAAAAUCUACUUAUAACUGAGUAUCCAUUUGCCUGCAUAAAGCUUUUCUUUGUAUUUCUCAGAUGUUGAUUUCUGUACCAGCAGAGAGCUGAGGACUGCCUGGAUUUUGCUAUUGUUAUUUGUUUUGGAUCAUCACCUCCCUGAGUAAUUUGUAAACAUUCUUCUCUGUCACUUUCCGAUUGGUUUAAGAAAGAGCUGGCCUAUAACAAAACAGGAGAAGAAAGGUGGGACUUCUGGGCAGAGAUAGGAGUGCUAGGAAAGAAUCAGGCACAUGGGGGGUGUUCCCCCACCCCCGCCAGCCAGCCAGGAGGAAGUCAUACUAGGAUAUAGAGAAGUACCAAGCCAUGUGGCCUAUGUGGACUACAGUAGAUGGGGUAAUUAAGUUAUGUGAGCUAGUUGGAAACAAGCCGAAGCUAGCUAUAAAACCUAAGCUUUCAUAAAUAAUAAAAAGUCUCUGUGUCAUUAUGGGAGCUGGCGGGUGGAGACAGUCCCACAGUAGGCAGCACCAUUACCUGCAGGGGGUGUCCUGAAAUGUGUAAGAGGGGAGAAAUUGAGCUGAACAUAAGCAAGCAGACAAGUGAGUAUGAUGCAGUCAUAUCUCUCUGCUUUAACUCUGGAUGUGAUGUGAUAGCUUGAAAUCCCUGCUUUGACUGCUGCACGUGAACUGACUAUGGCCUGGAAUUUGUAAGCUGAAAUAAACCUUUCUCCUCCAA